CAAGUUAUCAGUUGAAUGGCUUGUUUUAAUUCUCUGCAACAACAUAGGUGCAGAGGAGGUUUCCAUUCUUUUGUUUGAUAUAUAGGUGCUAAAAGGCGAGUAGUGAGUCAGUGGCAGGGUGGUUAGGGUGGGUCUAUCUAGGUAUAUAAGUAUGUUGUCAGUCUGCUUCUUUUUGUAUUAUCCUGAUCCCGUGUUUAAAUGAAUCAACUCAAAUUUGUAUUUAUGCUCUAUGUGUGAUUGGGCAUGAGCCCAACCCAUAAUGUAUACUUGAACAAUUAGGCAUUCUUGAUGACACCCUAUUUUUUACUUUGGUAUGUAUUUUCUUUGUUGUUAGAACUAUUGUUUUUCCUAUGCCUGGUUGCUAUUCAGAGUUGUUAGAACUUUUUUUGAUCCUUGCUGCUUGCUGAUAUUGUGGUAUCUCUAGCCUGAUUUUAGUGCGCUAGCGACAAUUAGCACUGCUAAACUUGAAACCAAAAUGAAGCUAUGAGUUACCCCAUAAGUUGUGUAGAAAACGAGAUUCAUCUUCAAAUCAAGUCAUGUUUAUUCUUAUUGUUUCAAGGAACAUCCUGCUAUUGUUUUUACCUCCUGAAUUGUCAAGUAUUAAAAUGUAAAAAUAUAAAAAUUCACUGAAUUAAGAACUUCCAUAUCAUUUUCUAUUUUACCAGUUUGGAAUCCAUUGAUCACCGAUUGUGUGUACGUUCUGAUCCAAGAAGCAAAUUUUACUGUUCAAUCCUUUUGUUGAGGCUUGCAGAAAAACAGGUUAAUCUAUCUUUUGUUCACAUGCCUUGCUACCUAAUUUUACAUGAGCUUGCUUCACGGAUGUACAUAUUUUUCUUUAUCCUGUAAUGUUGACAGGCUCAUUUUUCUGGUAGUGAAGAAAUGAGAGGAAGUGGAAGGAUAUAAGGUAGCUUCUGCAGAAUCCAAUAUACUUGGAGUCCACAUCCAAGAUCAAAGCAUCUAGCUCUGUUCACUCAGGUUCUCAGGAGUAUCUCACAAAUGAGUCAUCAUAGAGAAGAAGACAAUUCCACAGAAGCAAAGCCAGUGCAUUGGUAGGGGGCUAAAUUAGCAGGCAUGCUACCUAUACUAAAUACAU
Molecule: ribosomal RNA, 1093 nt
Filed under: Triticum aestivum (bread wheat)
Lineage: Eukaryota; Viridiplantae; Streptophyta; Magnoliopsida; Poales; Poaceae
Description: partial small subunit ribosomal RNA
Source: RNAcentral